UAAGUAUUUGUAUAUCUAUUUAUUCAGAUGAAAAAAAUCAAGGCUUAAUUUAAGUAACUUGUCCAAGGUCAAGGAAUUGGCAAGUGGCUGAGCUGGAAUUCAGCAUCUCAGACAUCUUCCUUUGAAUCCUUGCCUUCCUUGUGAAUUUCAGAUGACAAGCAUGACGGUUGCAUGAUUAUGGGGUCACUGCAGGCCUGUCCUGCCCUGAGGGACCAAGGAUCAGAAGGGCAAAACCAACCCGCUCAGCUAGUGAAGUGAAAUGGACAUGGUCUAUUCCUGGUUUACCCUCCGCUGGCCUUCAGGAGGUUUCUGAAUGCACCAGGGUCCUAGAGAAGCAGCAACCGCUGGACUGUAUUGCCAGGUAGCCAGCAGCAUGGGGCCCUGGAAGAGGCUGGAGGAUACUGUGCUGUCACUGAGACACCUGCCUCAGGUCCUCCAUCUCAGCCAUUGCCCACGAACACAGCUCCACAGCCAGAAUGACCCAGCCACAGAAAUGCCAGCAAAAAACACCCUGGCUCCCCACAUCCCAUGGUAAAGCUCCAAAUGCUUGGAGCACACACAAGACCUGACUCCAGGUCACCUUCUCUACUGGGACAGAAAGGGUGCCCUGGGGCUGGGGAAGGGCCUGGGGCUGGCACAGUCAGGCUGUAUUUGGGUCAUUUUCCAGGAGGUCUGGGUUAUUUCUAACACUCUCUCCUCCAAGAAGACAACUUUGCCUCCUGCCCUUUGACAUUCUUUCUUCUUGUGGCAUCCAGCAUUUUCUCUGGUAACUGUUGUGGGUAUUUUUUGUAUUUGGGGAAACUAAAAAAUAUAGAAAACUGCAAAAAAGAAUUACAGUCACCAAUAUGCUUGCCACUCAGAAUCAGACCUAGCAGAGUUUUCCAUAUUGGCUUUUCUAGGCUUCUAUAUGCAUCUAUAUCUAAUCUGGAUCUAUGGCUGGAUCUAUGUCUGUAGCAUGUGUGUACCUGUAUCUUCAUCUCUUGUGCUUUUGAAGGGAAAGUACGUUACUCAAGUCCCCGGUGACCAGCACCCUCACUGUGACAUCAGAUGACAUGUCAAUUGCAACCCCAGUUGAGGUCACUCUUCUACAGGGGAUGUGUAUCCUUUCUACCUUUAAACAUGUUGUUAUAGACACGUUCGGAGGCAUAUAAAAUUUAUAAUUUGGGGGGCACACUGUCUACACAAGUGGGGUUGCGCUGCGCCCAUCAUCCUGCAAAGUGUUGUUUCAUUCAGUGGCAUAGUUUUGGGCUCUGUUGAGGUUGACACACAUGGAUGCUGUUUGUUCCAUUCAGAAACAGCCCAAGUGUCCAGGCCCUCAACUACACUGAUGCGUCCUGAAGGGAAGGGCUGAAGAGACCGCCCUGGGGUCCCCACCCACUACUGCAGCCAGACCUUCUGGGGCUGCCUUCCCUGGGGAGCCUCGAGCAGAUGCUGAAUGAGCUCCAGGGACUGAGGGCCACUGGACAGCUGCCCCCACAUGCCCCCAGCCCACACCACAUCACAGAGUGCUCCCACCAUACACAGAGUGCUCCCAUCAUUCACAGAGUGCUCCCACCAUUCACAGAGUGCUCCCAUCAUUCACUGGGCAACAACAGGAGGACAUAGAUGGAAGAAAAACCUGCUCCUCAGGACGGAGGCCACAGGGUGACCCUGCUCCCAGCGAGGGAGGUUUGGGCCUGGGGCUUCAGGUCCUCCGGAAGCUCCCUCAGCCCUGCAGGCCUCCUGAUGCCAACACGACUCUGCCGCAUAGGGGGCCAGGGCAGCCACUUCCUGGCUCUGCCUGUUUGGCCAAGUGGCCUUGAGGAAGCCUUGCUCUCUGUCCCCAACACUCCAUGGGACUUUCAGUGCCCAGUGGAUGCCUGACAAGCCUGACAUCUGCUGGGGACCAAGGGCUGUUUAUCCUUCCCGGGAACUGGAGAGCCAAGGGUCAACACAGCCAGGAGCCUGCCCCCAGGCCAGGACUCUUGUGGGUGGUGUAGACACCCCCCAGCUCUGGCCCUCAAGGGAGAUGUGAGCCGUGUGCUUUCUCUCUCCUGUUCUCCCUGAGGAACGCAGGGCCAGCUGCCCACUGUGGCGGCAGCUCGGGCCCAGUCACACUCCUUCACGGGUGAUCUCCCUCCCCUGAGGGGCUCCCCUCCACCUCCCAGACAAGCUGCUGGUGCCCAGAUUCCUGUCUCAGGGUUUGCUUAUGCAGGAUCUCGAACUCAGAACCCGUCC
Long non-coding RNA from Macaca fascicularis (crab-eating macaque), 2217 nucleotides. NCBI's taxonomy places the organism in Eukaryota, Metazoa, Chordata, Mammalia, Primates, Cercopithecidae. The record is from Ensembl.